ACAUGCCUACAUCGUAGCGUUAAUGCACUGGAUCCUAUUAUAACUCCGCAGUUAAGCACGCUCAGGCUAGAGUAGUACAGGGAUGGAUGAUUGCUCGAGAAUGUUCGACAACACAGGUA
Non-coding RNA from Picea glauca (white spruce), 119 nucleotides. NCBI's taxonomy places the organism in Eukaryota, Viridiplantae, Streptophyta, Pinopsida, Pinales, Pinaceae. The record is from Rfam.